UCGAUGAGUAGGGCGGGACACGUGGUAUCCUGUCUGAAUAUGGGGGGACCAUCCUCCAAGGCUAAAUACUCCUGACUGACCGAUAGUGAACCAGUACCGUGAGGGAAAGGCGAAAAGAACCCCGGCGAGGGGAGUGAAAAAGAACCUGAAACCGUGUACGUACAAGCAGUGGGAGCCUCUUAAUGGGGUGACUGCGUACCUUUUGUAUAAUGGGUCAGCGACUUAUAUUCUGUAGCAAGGUUAACCGAAUAGGGGAGCCGAAGGGAAACCGAGUCUUAACUGGGCGUUAAGUUGCAGGGUAUAGACCCGAAACCCGGUGAUCUAGCCAUGGGCAGGUUGAAGGUUGGGUAACACUAACUGGAGGACCGAACCGACUAAUGUUGAAAAAUUAGCGGAUGACUUGUGGCUGGGGGUGAAAGGCCAAUCAAACCGGGAGAUAGCUGGUUCUCCCCGAAAGCUAUUUAGGUAGCGCCUCGUGAAUUCAUCUCCGGGGGUAGAGCACUGUUUCGGCAAGGGGGUCAUCCCGACUUACCAACCCGAUGCAAACUGCGAAUACCGGAGAAUGUUAUCACGGGAGACACACGGCGGGUGCUAACGUCCGUCGUGAAGAGGGAAACAACCCAGACCGCCAGCUAAGGUCCCAAAGUCAUGGUUAAGUGGGAAACGAUGUGGGAAGGCCCAGACAGCCAGGAUGUUGGCUUAGAAGCAGCCAUCAUUUAAAGAAAGCGUAAUAGCUCACUGGUCGAGUCGGCCUGCGCGGAAGAUGUAACGGGGCUAAACCAUGCACCGAAGCUGCGGCAGCGACACUAUGUGUUGUUGGGUAGGGGAGCGUUCUGUAAGCCUGUGAAGGUGGCCUGUGAGGGUUGCUGGAGGUAUCAGAAGUGCGAAUGCUGACAUAAGUAACGAUAAAGCGGGUGAAAAGCCCGCUCGCCGGAAGACCAAGGGUUCCUGUCCAACGUUAAUCGGGGCAGGGUGAGUCGACCCCUAAGGCGAGGCCGAAAGGCGUAGUCGAUGGGAAACAGGUUAAUAUUCCUGUACUUGGUGUUACUGCGAAGGGGGGACGGAGAAGGCUAUGUUGGCCGGGCGACGGUUGUCCCGGUUUAAGCGUGUAGGCUGGUUUUCCAGGCAAAUCCGGAAAACCAAGGCUGAGGCGUGAUGACGAAGCACUACGGUGCUGAAGCGACAAAUGCCCUGCUUCCAGGAAAAGCCUCUAAGCAUCAGGUAACAUCAAAUCGUACCCCAAACCGACACAGGUGGUCAGGUAGAGAAUACCAAGGCGCUUGAGAGAACUCGGGUGAAGGAACUAGGCAAAAUGGUGCCGUAACUUCGGGAGAAGGCACGCUGAUAUGUAGGUGAAGCGACUUGCUCGUGGAGCUGAAAUCAGUCGAAGAUACCAGCUGGCUGCAACUGUUUAUUAAAAACACAGCACUGUGCAAACACGAAAGUGGACGUAUACGGUGUGACGCCUGCCCGGUGCCGGAAGGUUAAUUGAUGGGGUUAGCGGUAACGCGAAGCUCUUGAUCGAAGCCCCGGUAAACGGCGGCCGUAACUAUAACGGUCCUAAGGUAGCGAAAUUCCUUGUCGGGUAAGUUCCGACCUGCACGAAUGGCGUAAUGAUGGCCAGGCUGUCUCCACCCGAGACUCAGUGAAAUUGAACUCGCUGUGAAGAUGCAGUGUACCCGCGGCAAGACGGAAAGACCCCGUGAACCUUUACUAUAGCUUGACACUGAACAUUGAGCCUUGAUGUGUAGGAUAGGUGGGAGGCUUUGAAGUGUGGACGCCAGUCUGCAUGGAGCCGACCUUGAAAUACCACCCUUUAAUGUUUGAUGUUCUAACGUUGGCCCGUAAUCCGGGUUGCGGACAGUGUCUGGUGGGUAGUUUGACUGGGGCGGUCUCCUCCUAAAGAGUAACGGAGGAGCACGAAGGUUGGCUAAUCCUGGUCGGACAUCAGGAGGUUAGUGCAAUGGCAUAAGCCAGCUUGACUGCGAGCGUGACGGCGCGAGCAGGUGCGAAAGCAGGUCAUAGUGAUCCGGUGGUUCUGAAUGGAAGGGCCAUCGCUCAACGGAUAAAAGGUACUCCGGGGAUAACAGGCUGAUACCGCCCAAGAGUUCAUAUCGACGGCGGUGUUUGGCACCUCGAUGUCGGCUCAUCACAUCCUGGGGCUGAAGUAGGUCCCAAGGGUAUGGCUGUUCGCCAUUUAAAGUGGUACGCGAGCUGGGUUUAGAACGUCGUGAGACAGUUCGGUCCCUAUCUGCCGUGGGCGCUGGAGAACUGAGGGGGGCUGCUCCUAGUACGAGAGGACCGGAGUGGACGCAUCACUGGUGUUCGGGUUGUCAUGCCAAUGGCACUGCCCGGUAGCUAAAUGCGGAAGAGAUAAGUGCUGAAAGCAUCUAAGCACGAAACUUGCCCCGAGAUGAGUUCUCCCUGAGACUUAGAGUCUCCUGAAGGAACGUUGAAGACGACGACGUUGAUAGGCCGGGUGUGUAAGCGCAGCGAUGCGUUGAGCUAACCGGUACUAAUGAACCGUGAGGCUUAACCUUACAACGCCGAAG
RNAcentral lists this ribosomal RNA (2552 nucleotides) under Escherichia coli. Its description in RNAcentral is "partial 23S ribosomal RNA". It matches the Rfam family "Bacterial large subunit ribosomal RNA", at positions 405 to 2925 of the family's 2925-position model. Lineage: Bacteria; Pseudomonadati; Pseudomonadota; Gammaproteobacteria; Enterobacterales; Enterobacteriaceae. The record is from RNAcentral.